Molecule: long non-coding RNA, 961 nt
Filed under: Astyanax mexicanus (Mexican tetra)
Lineage: Eukaryota; Metazoa; Chordata; Actinopteri; Characiformes; Acestrorhamphidae
Description: lncRNA (ENSAMXG00005002647.1)
Source: RNAcentral
AUAUAAAUAUAGACUGUUUUUUUUUUGGUCUUUGGUGUUUUGGGUUAAAUCGCGAUACUAAGCAACAGCUCGGUUUAGAAGGUUUAGAUUUGAAUAUUUGAAGCUCACUUUGGACUGAGAAGUUCAAGGCUGAACACGAGCGAUUUUGAUCUGCGGAUUAUCCUCAACUCACUUCACCAAUUCUCACUCUUUUCUCAAUAUUUCUCACUAAUUUCUCAUUAAUUUCUUAUUAAUUUCUUAUUAAUUUCUCUCGUUUCUGUCAGUGCUUCUCACUAUGCCUUUUCCGGUGUAUUUUUCAGAUGGCGCUGCGGAGCUGCUGGACUUCCUGGACUGGCUGGAUGACUACUACCCCCGUUUCCCCAGACCAAACCUUCGUGCUCUUCUUCAGGUACCCGGAGUUGCUACAGUGGAGACCUUGGUGUUCCUCUGUCCAUCCUUUCCUCUCCUUAGGCCGGAUGGAUUCGCUCAGUUGCUUUACCUCCCAGAUGUCGGUCUGUUCUACCCCACUUUCUUCCCCCUGGUGUGGGAGGACAGAGCCGAGUCUCAGCAGCCAUAUUGCCCACCUGUGCUACAUGGAUCUGCUGUGGCAAGCCUACCUGAAGACCAGGGUCCUCCCAACUGCCUGCAGACAGCUGGAGCCUCGACCGGACAGGGACCACAAGCCGGGGGGCCACUGCAUCGCUCUCCCUGAGGACGACUGCGCACCACCUCGCAAGAGACGCCGCAUCUGAUCCAACCUGUAUCCUUUAUUUAUUACUCUGUAUAUGUUUAUCUAUUACUGAUAAGUUUACUUUAUAUAUAUUUAUAUUGUAUAGUCCAUUAAUUAACUAGCUAUAUUUUUAUAGAGUAGAUAAGUUUACUUUAUCAUUUUAUAAACUUUCAUAAGUUUACCUUCAUAAGUUUCUUUUUUCCUUUUUAUGAAAUUAAUAAAUUUCCUUACCAUUAGACUUUAAUUAACUAU